GAUGAACGCUAGCGACAGGCUUAACACAUGCAAGUCGAGGGGCAGCAGGGGAGUAGCAAUACUCCCGCUGGCGACCGGCGCACGGGUGAGUAACACGUAUGCAACCUGCCCUUGUCAGGGGGAUAAGCGGAAGAAAUUCCGUCUAAUACCGCAUAAUGCUGCGGGGAGACAUCUCCCUGCAGCCAAAGAUUUAUCGGACAAGGAUGGGCAUGCGGCGCAUUAGCUUGUUGGCGGGGUAACGGCCCACCAAGGCGACGAUGCGUAGGGGUUCUGAGAGGAAGGUCCCCCACACUGGUACUGAGACACGGACCAGACUCCUACGGGAGGCAGCAGUGAGGAAUAUUGGUCAAUGGCCGGGAGGCUGAACCAGCCAAGUCGCGUGAGGGAAGACGGUCCUAUGGAUUGUAAACCUCUUUUGUCAGGGAGCAAAAACUGCCACGUGUGGCAGGAUGAGAGUACCUGAAGAAAAAGCAUCGGCUAACUCCGUGCCAGCAGCCGCGGUAAUACGGAGGAUGCGAGCGUUAUCCGGAUUUAUUGGGUUUAAAGGGUGCGUAGGCGGACAGUUAAGUCAGCGGUAAAAUUGAGAGGCUCAACCUCUUCCCGCCGUUGAAACUGAUUGUCUUGAGUGGGCGAGAAGUAUGCGGAAUGCGUGGUGUAGCGGUGAAAUGCAUAGAUAUCACGCAGAACUCCGAUUGCGAAGGCAGCAUACCGGCGCCCAACUGACGCUGAAGCACGAAAGCGUGGGUAUCGAACAGGAUUAGAUACCCUGGUAGUCCACGCAGUAAACGAUGAAUACUAAUUGUUCGGGUCAAAUGAGAUCUGAGUGAUACAGCGAAAGCGUUAAGUAUUCCACCUGGGGAGUACGCCGGCAACGGUGAAACUCAAAGGAAUUGACGGGGGCCCGCACAAGCGGAGGAACAUGUGGUUUAAUUCGAUGAUACGCGAGGAACCUUACCCGGGCUCAAACGACACAGGAAUGAUCUGAGAAAUCAGGCAGUCCUCCGGGACCUGUGUCGAGGUGCUACAUGGUUGUCGUCAGCUCGUGCCGUGAGGUGUCGGCUUAAGUGCCAUAACGAGCGCAACCCCCAUCGACAGUUGCCAGCAGGUCAAGCUGGGCACUCUGUCGAGACUGCCGGCGCAAGCUGUGAGGAAGGCGGGGAUGACGUCAAAUCAGCACGGCCCUUACGUCCGGGGCGACACACGUGUUACAAUGGCAGGUACAGCGGGAAGCCACCUGGCGACAGGGAGCGGAACCCGAAAGCCUGUCUCAGUUCGGAUUGGAGUCUGCAACUCGACUCCAUGAAGCUGGAUUCGCUAGUAAUCGCGCAUCAGCCACGGCGCGGUGAAUACGUUCCCGGGCCU
RNAcentral lists this ribosomal RNA (1362 nucleotides) under uncultured bacterium. RNAcentral describes it as "16S ribosomal RNA". It matches the Rfam family "Bacterial small subunit ribosomal RNA", at positions 28 to 1381 of the family's 1533-position model. The record is from RNAcentral.